RNAcentral lists this ribosomal RNA (441 nucleotides) under uncultured bacterium. RNAcentral's name for it is "partial 16S ribosomal RNA". It matches the Rfam family "Bacterial small subunit ribosomal RNA", at positions 338 to 795 of the family's 1533-position model. The record is from RNAcentral.
CCUACGGGCGGCUGCAGUGGGGAAUAUUGCACAAUGGGGGAAACCCUGAUGCAGCGACGCCGCGUGAGUGAAGAAGUAUUUCGGUAUGUAAAGCUCUAUCAGCAGGGAAGAAGAAAGAUGGUACCUGACUAAGAAGCCCCGGCUAACUACGAGCCAGCAGCCGCGGUAAUACGUAGGGGGCAAGCGUUAUCCGGAUUUACUGGGUGUAAAGGGAGGGUAGAGGGGUAUGCAAGUCUGAAGGGAAAGCCCAGGGUUCAACCCUGGGACUGCUUUUGAAACUGUGGGUCUAGAGUGCUGGAGAGGUAAGUGGAAUUCCUGGUGUAGCGGUGAAAUGCGUAGAGAUUAGGAGGAACACCAGUGGCGAAGGCGGCUUACCGGACAGUAACUGACGUUGAGGCUCGAAAGCGUGGGGAGCAAACAGGAUUAGAUACCCGAGUAGUC